GCCCGCUUGGCUUAGGGGUAAAGCGUGCCACUCGUAUUACCGUAAGCGGUAAUUCCUUAUAUGGCAAGAUCAGUCGUUCGAAUCGGCUAGUGGGCA
This is a non-coding RNA of Macrolepiota fuliginosa MF-IS2, 96 nucleotides long. Lineage: Eukaryota; Fungi; Basidiomycota; Agaricomycetes; Agaricales; Agaricaceae. The record is from the annotation of a GenBank genome assembly.